CGCGAGUGAUCCCUGACAGAACAGUCCCCCUCUCCGCCCUGGGGGAGCCGGGGAGGAUGUGCAGCCCCACUCCUCCUGCUCGGCGGAGCCUCGCGCGCGCAGAGCCUAGCGCGAUUCGCGCCCUCAUUACCACUACAAAGCGCGGGCCAGACCAAUCCCCUUUCUAAUGCACCAUUUUCGAAUGAGAACAUCAAGAGGCCAGAAACUUCCAAGUCAGCUUGCAGACGCAGACGCCUCCUGGGGUCCUGGCUUUAAGAACCAGAUGCCAACAUUCCCGGACAGUUUAUGGCAUCCGGAUCCCUCAAGGGUGCUCAUCUGCAGUUGAGAGUGUUAGUAGCAAUUAUUUAUCAUCUCUCCUGGAGAGGAGUUCCUGAACGUAAAUGUCCUCUGCUGGCCCUAAAGCUGUGUUGUGGGGUGGGGGUUGGGGGGCCAAAUGUUCCC
RNAcentral lists this non-coding RNA (441 nucleotides) under Pongo abelii (Sumatran orangutan). Lineage: Eukaryota; Metazoa; Chordata; Mammalia; Primates; Hominidae. The record is from RNAcentral.